This is a non-coding RNA of Bactrocera oleae (olive fruit fly), 1251 nucleotides long. Lineage: Eukaryota; Metazoa; Arthropoda; Insecta; Diptera; Tephritidae. The record is from RefSeq and is a predicted model, not a curated record.
AAAUUUGUUGUUGCUUUUCGCAUCACGAUACACAGACUGGUUACCCAUUGAAAUUCAUCAACUUUUGAUAAAAUCUACACUUUUUAGAUUUAUAUAGUAAGAUUGUUUUGUGUUUUGUUUUUGCAAGUAAUACUUUAAUCAAUUAAUAAUAACAAUAUUCGUUUGCGGAUGUUAAUCCUUGGCAACACGCAAUGGCAGACGACAUAUUCAUAUUUAGAUUUUAAACAACACACAUGUCAAUUUAAGUUGCUUAUAUGUUGUAUCGAUAACUGCAUAUUAAUACAGCCUCUCGUUUUUUAAUAGGAAGAUAUCUCCGUUUUAAUUUCAACAGAAAAUUAAAGUCAAAUUUGGAAAAUGAAAAGCAAAGUUCGCCAUUUUCUAUUUUUUGUAACUCGCUUUUGAAAUGGUUUUCGUUCGUUCGUUGCUUGAUAUAUGCCUGUCAAAGAAAACUCGUUAGUUUAUUGACUCGUUGAAACAAUGAAUGCGGGUAUUCAAACAUCAGUCAUAAAUUAUCUCUGCAAAAAUUUUCUGUUUUACUCAUGAUACAUUUAAAUAAGUUUGUUUCGUUAACUCAAAAAAAUUACAUUUUGUAUAUAAUUCAUUAUAAAGGUUUUGUCGAUAGACCAAAAACAACAAUUUGUCAAAAGUGUUUUAAUUCAUAUUGCUGUUGUUGUUGUAACGGUUAUCUAAUCCCCGCUUGGGUGGUAAGGUUCAGAUUGAUUGUCGGCAAAGUCAUCUAACGGGUCAUAGGGAGAAAGGUGUUACUGCAAAUUGUCAAAACCAGCUGUUUUAUUCGUUUUUAUGACACAAAAAAAAUCAAACUUUCGGUCCAAACAAGUGUUUUUUCAGUGAAAAUGUAAACAAGACACUCAUGAGGAGAACAUUAAAAGAUGUAGAUGUCAGUUCUCGACAGCUGCUCUGUUCAUUUUCAGCAUCUUGAUUUUUAAUACCCAAUCCAUAAUAGCAGCUACAACUCUGUAUCCAGUGUGGAGAAAAUUAAUGUUUCCUGAAUAUUUGGCUUGUGAUUUUUGAUAGAAGUACACUUCGUAUAUUGCUAUAGACAAAUGAUUUUUGUCUAGUUUCCGUAAGAUACUACGUUCUAAGAAAUCAUUUGGCGUUUGUGACGAAGAAUUUAUUGGUCGUAUUUUGUAAAUUAUUUCUUUGGUUAGAUAUAAAGUUAUACCAUCCAAAAUGUACAAGAAUCAGAAACAUUAGAUUUGGAAAUAAAGAAAAGAAAAGUAAUAAAUGAAA